RNAcentral lists this ribosomal RNA (669 nucleotides) under Bjerkandera adusta. Its description in RNAcentral is "eukaryotic LSU rRNA". The stretch from base 264 to 417 matches the Rfam family "5.8S ribosomal RNA". The record is from RNAcentral. Lineage: Eukaryota; Fungi; Basidiomycota; Agaricomycetes; Polyporales; Phanerochaetaceae.
GUCUUGGUCAUUUAGAGGAAGUAAAAGUCGUAACAAGGUUUCCGUAGGUGAACCUGCGGAAGGAUCAUUAUCGAGUUUUGAACGGGUUGUCUGCUGGCUCGCAAGGGCAUGUGCACGCCUGUCUCAUCCACUCUCAACUUCUGUGCACUUUUCAUAGGCCGGCUUGUGGGUGCGUUCGCGCACUUGUAGGUGUCGGGCUUAUGCUUUAUUACAAACGAUUCAGUUUUAGAAUGUCAUACUUUGCUAUAACGCAAUUUAUAUACAACUUUCAGCAACGGAUCUCUUGGCUCUCGCAUCGAUGAAGAACGCAGUGAAAUGCGAUAAGUAAUGUGAAUUGCAGAAUUCAGUGAAUCAUCGAAUCUUUGAACGCACCUUGCGCUCCUUGGUAUUCCGAGGAGCAUGCCUGUUUGAGUCUCAUGGAAUUCUCAACCUUCGGCUUCAUUGACGAAGGCUUGGACUUGGAGGUCGUGCCGGCUCUCGUAGUCGGCUCCUCUGAAAUGCAUUAGUGCGAACGUUACCGACCGCUUCAGCGUGAUAAUUAUCUGCGUUGCUGUGGAGGGUAUUCUAGUGUUCACGCUUCUAACCGUCUUCGGACAAAUUUCUGAACUCUGAGCUCAAAUCAGGUAGGACUACCCGCUGAACUUAAGCAUAUCAAUAAGCGGAGGAGUC